UACGUAGGGUGCAGGCGUUAAUCGGAAUUACUGGGCGUAAAGCGUGCGCAGGCGGUUUUGUAAGUCUGUCGUGAAAUCCCCGGGCUCAACCUGGGAAUUGCGAUGGAGACUGCAAGGCUAGAAUCUGGCAGAGGGGGGUAGAAUUCCACGUGUAGCAGUGAAAUGCGUAGAGAUGUGGAGGAACACCGAUGGCGAAGGCAGCCCCCUGGGUCAAGAUUGACGCUCAUGCACGAAAGCGUGGGGAGCAAACAGG
RNAcentral lists this ribosomal RNA (253 nucleotides) under uncultured bacterium. RNAcentral describes it as "partial 16S ribosomal RNA". It matches the Rfam family "Bacterial small subunit ribosomal RNA", at positions 524 to 776 of the family's 1533-position model. The record is from RNAcentral.